This is a long non-coding RNA of Oncorhynchus tshawytscha (Chinook salmon), 3043 nucleotides long. NCBI's taxonomy places the organism in Eukaryota, Metazoa, Chordata, Actinopteri, Salmoniformes, Salmonidae. The record is from Ensembl.
GGGGAGAGAGGCAGAGAAGGGGGAGGGGAGAGAGGCAGAGGAAGGGGGAGGGGAGAGAGGCAGAGAAGGAGGAGGAGGGGAGAGAGGCAGAGAAGGGGGGGGGGAGAGAGGCAGAGAAGGAGGAGGGGAGAGAGGCAGAGAAGGAGGAGGGGAGAGAGGCAGAGGAAGGGAGGAGUUGUGGCAGGAAUAACCUUUUGGCUCUGAGGAGAAGGACCAUUGUUAAGUUCAGACUGUAAACAAACACCCUUUCCUCACUGAGGACCUACUAGAGCUGACGGUUAGAUCAUGAUCUAGGCUGAUAUGGGAUGAUUAGAUAAUGAUCUAGGCUGAUGUAGGAUGAUUAGAGAAUGAUCUAGGGUUAACCAGUACAAAGUUGACUAUCAUGGAUAUAUAUUUUUUUUAAAGAAAUGUCAAAUGUAAUAUUCUGCAGUUCUUGUUAUCUUUUCUUAAAGAAAGAAUAAUGAACAUGGAUUUAGUUGAGGUUUUUUUGACUAGUGGACAUAGUACCAUGUCUCAAAGCUGCUACCAGUAGGCUAACAGCUCAUGUUCACAUUCACAGAGUACCGGCAAGUAAAACUACAGGAAUAAAGAUUGUAAAGACAUUUUUGGUAACCAAAGGAAAAACUUGUUUUCUGUUGUGAACUGGAACAAAGUUGACUGGGAUUUUUCUUUCUUACUUUCAGGGGUAUAGUGUUGCCAGGGCUCAGAGAAGCUUUGCUCCCUCACUGAAAAACAAAUAUUGAGCUGGUUGAAACUAUUUAGUUAUUUUGAGCUGGACAAUGACCCAACACACCUCCCGGCAUUGUAAGGGCUAUUUGACCAAGAAGGAGAGUGAUGGAGUGCUGCAUCAGAUGACCUGGCCUCCACAAUCACCUGACCUCAACCCAAAUGAGAUGGUUUGGGAUGAGUUGGACUGCAGUGGGAAGGAAAAGCAGCCAACAAGUGCUCAGCAUAUGUGGGAACUCCUUCAAGACUGUUGGAAAAGCAUUCCAGGUGAAGCUGGUAGAGAGAAUGCCAAGAGUGUGCAAAGCUGUCAUCAAGGCAAAGGGGUGGCUAGUUAGAAAAAUAUAGAAUAUUACAUGUAUUUUGAUUUGUUUAAAACAAGAAUUUAAGCUUUCAGCCGAUAUAAGACACUUCUAUGUACCGACAUUUGUUGUUUCUCUAAAAUAUGUGAUAUUGAUAUAACGCGCUGCAUGAUUUACAACUGUCUCGUCGACGGAACGCAAAUCCUUAUUAAUAAACAAAUUAGACACAUUUAUGCCGAGCUAAAAAGGGUCCAAUCCAACUUAAUUUUAAGGGCUUGUAAGUUGCAUUUCAAGAUGGAGUAGCAGUCAGAUGUGUGUUUGUCUUGUCCUGUGUUAAUUAGUCUGUAAAUAGCCUGGGUUUUUUUUUCUCGUACAUUUGAAUCUACGAACUAAACAUACUUUCCUGCAACCAGCCUCACCCAAUGUGGUACUGAUCUGCUGUUUUGUUAUACCUCAUAACUGGAACCCACAUCAGAGGCUAGCCAGCAAACUAGCUACUAGUCAUUGUUUGCCACUGCUAGCGGUCUUCACCUUUAGCUAGGAAACUAGCCAGCUCUAGCUCGGACAAUUACCUGCCAGUCUGCACAGUGCGAUAUCAACCCAGAGCUUCCUAAAUUUGUUUUAUUCACUGCUUUAGCACACUCUGCCAACCUGGAUGUCCUAGCCUUGUAUGAAUCCUGGCUUAGGCAGGCCACAAAAAUUCUGAAAUCUCCAAUCUCCAUUCUCAAUCUCCAUCCAACUACAACAUUUUCCGUCAAGAUAGAACUGCCAAAAGGGGCGGAGUUGCAAUCUCCUGCAGAGAGAUAGCCUGCAGAGUUCUGUCUUACUAUCCAGGUUUGUGCCCAAACAGAUCGAGUAUCUACUUUUAAAAAUCCAUCCACGCCAGUUCGUAUAGUCUUUAGCCGUACCCUUAUCCUACUUCUCCUCUGUUCCUCUGGUGAUGUGGAGGUUAAUCCAGGUCCUGCAGUGCCUAGCUCCACUCCCACCCCACAGGCGCUCUCAUUUGUUGACUUCUGUAAACGUAAAAGCCUUGGUUUCAUGCAUGUUAACAUUAGAAGCCUACUCCCUACGUUUGUUUUACUCACUGCUUUAGCACACUCUGCCAACCCAGAUGUCUUAGCCGUGUCUGAAUCCUGGCUUAGGAAAACCACCAAAAACCUUGAAAUUUCCAUUCCUAACUAUAACGUUUUCCGCCAAGAUAGAACUACCAACGGGGGCGGUGUUGCAAUCUACUGCAAAGAUAGUAAUACAGAACUCUGCAGGCUAUCUAAGUCUGCACCCAAACAAUUUGAGCUUCUACUUCUAAAAAAUCACCUUUCCAGAAACAAGUCUCUUACUGUUGCCGCUUGCUAUAGACCUCCCUCUGCCCCCAGCUGUGCCCUUGAUACCAUAUGUGAAUUGAUUGCCCCCCAUCUAUCUUCUGAGCUCGUGCUACUAGGUGACCUAAACUGGGACAUGCUUAACACCCUGGCCAUCCUACAAACUAAGCUUGAUACCCUCAAUCUCACACAAAUUAUCAAUGAACCUACCAGGUACAACCCCAAAUCAGUAAACACGGGCACCCUCAUAGAUGUCAUCCUAACUAAUUCGCCCUCCAAAUACACCUCUGCUGUUUUCAAUCAAGAUCUCAGUGAUCACUGCCUCAUUGCCUGCAUCCGUAAUGGGUCUGCGACCAAACGAUCACCCCUAAUCACUGUCAAACGCUCCCUGAAACAUUUCUGCGAGCAGGCCUUUCUAAUCGACCUGGCCGUGGUAUCCUGGAAUAACAUUGACCUCAUCCUCAGUAGACCUCAGUAGAUGAUGCCUGGCUAUUCUUUAAAAGUGCCUUCAACACCAUCUUAAAUUAGCAUGCCCCUCUCAAAAAAAUUAGAACUAGGAAUAGAUAUAGUCCUUGGUUCACUCCAGACCUGUCUGCUCUUGACCAGCACAAAAACAUCCUGUGGCGUUCUGCAUUAGCAUCGAAUAGCCCCCGUGAUAUGCAACUUUUCAGGGAAGUUAGGAACAAAUAUACACAGGCA